RNAcentral lists this long non-coding RNA (322 nucleotides) under Malus domestica (apple). RNAcentral describes it as "long non-coding RNA (MDOM_LNC012020)". Lineage: Eukaryota; Viridiplantae; Streptophyta; Magnoliopsida; Rosales; Rosaceae. The record is from RNAcentral.
AGAGUUUAGAAAAAUUGGGUUGCCUCCCAAUUAGCGCUUUAUUUUAAGUCUGUAGCUAGACGUUGCGGAAGUCCGGUGGCUAGAUCAUUGGUUCGUUCAGAGUCAAAGACUCGUAUGCACCAAAUUUCCCUAUGCAUGGUUUUAGUUGAUGUUUGGUAACCUUGAAUGAGAAAUCUGUGCCCUCAGCCUUGAUGUCCACAUUACCAUUCUGAAAAACUUUAGUAACUAGAAAAUGACCUUUCCAUCGAGACUUUUGUUUUCCUGGAGAUGAUUUGAAAUAAGAACUUAACAACCACACUUUUUUACCAAGCUUUAUUUUUGC